AGAGUUUGAUCCUGGCUCAGGACGAACGCUGACGGUGUGCUUUAGACAUGCAAGUCGAACGAGAAAGCCCUUCGGGGUGAGUACAGUGGCGAACGGGUGAGUAACACGUGGGUAACCUGCCCCUCGCAGGGGGACAACCGGGGGAAACCCCGGCUAAUACCCCGUACGCUCCGAGGUCCGCAUGGGCCACGGAGGAAAGGUAGCUUCGGCCAUCCGGCGAGGGAUGGGCCCGCGGUCCAUUAGCUAGUUGGUGGGGUAACGGCCUACCAAGGCGACGAUGGAUAGCUGGUCUGAGAGGAUGAUCAGCCACACUGGGACUGAGACACGGCCCAGACUCCUACGGGAGGCAGCAGUCGGGAAUCUUGCGCAAUGGGCGAAAGCCUGACGCAGCAACACUGUGUGGGCGACGAAGGCCUUCGGGUCGUAAAGCCCUGUUGUUGGGGACGAAGGACGAAGGGUUAAUAGCCCCUAGUCUGACGGUACCCUUCGAGGAAGCCCCGGCUAACUACGUGCCAGCAGCCGCGGUAAUACGUAGGGGGCGAGCGUUGUCCGGAAUUAUUGGGCGUAAAGAGCGUGUAGGCGGUUCGGUAAGUCUGCUGUGAAAUCCUGGGGCUCAACCCCGGGCGUGCAGCGGAUACUGCCGGACUAGAGGGUGGUAGAGGCGAGUGGAAUUCCCGGUGUAGCGGUGAAAUGCGCAGAUAUCGGGAGGAACACCAGUAGCGAAGGCGGCUCGCUGGGCCAUUCCUGACGCUGAGACGCGAAAGCAUGGGGAGCGAACAGGAUUAGAUACCCCAGUAGUCC
Molecule: ribosomal RNA, 801 nt
Filed under: uncultured Rubrobacter sp.
Lineage: Bacteria; Bacillati; Actinomycetota; Rubrobacteria; Rubrobacterales; Rubrobacteraceae
Description: bacterial SSU rRNA
Rfam family: Bacterial small subunit ribosomal RNA
Source: RNAcentral